Molecule: ribosomal RNA, 253 nt
Filed under: uncultured bacterium
Lineage: Bacteria
Description: partial 16S ribosomal RNA
Rfam family: Bacterial small subunit ribosomal RNA
Source: RNAcentral
UACGUAGGGGGCAAGCGUUGUCCGGAUUUAUUGGGCGUAAAGAGCGUGUAGGCGGCUAUGCAGGUCCGCUGUGAAAACUCGAGGCUCAACCUCGAGACGUCGGUGGAAACCGCAUGGCUAGAGUCCGGAAGAGGAGAGUGGAGUUCCCGGUGUAGCGGUGAAAUGCGCAGAUAUCGGGAAGAACACCCGUGGCGAAGGCGGCUCUCUGGGACGGUACUGACGCUGAGGCGCGAAAGCGUGGGGAGCGAACAGG